RNAcentral lists this ribosomal RNA (253 nucleotides) under uncultured bacterium. RNAcentral describes it as "partial 16S ribosomal RNA". It matches the Rfam family "Bacterial small subunit ribosomal RNA", at positions 524 to 776 of the family's 1533-position model. The record is from RNAcentral.
UACAGAGGUCUCGAGCGUUAGGCGGAAUCACUGGGCUUAAAGCGUGUGUAGGCGGAUCGGUAAGUACCUUGUGAAAUCCCACAGCUUAACUGUGGAACUGCUCGGUAUACUGCCAGUCUUGAGCCAGCUAGGGGCUACCGGAACAAAUGGUGGAGCGGUGAAAUGCGUAGAUAUCAUUUGGAACGCCAAUGGUGAAAACAGGUAGCUGGGGCUGUGCUGACGCUGAGACACGAAAGCCAGGGGAGCAAACAGG